RNAcentral lists this transfer RNA (98 nucleotides) under Metallosphaera sedula. RNAcentral describes it as "tRNA-Met". It matches the Rfam family "tRNA". From Rfam's summary of the family: Transfer RNA (tRNA) molecules are approximately 80 nucleotides in length. Their secondary structure includes four short double-helical elements and three loops (D, anti-codon, and T loops). RNAcentral also lists the same sequence under 1 other name. The record is from RNAcentral. Lineage: Archaea; Thermoproteati; Thermoproteota; Thermoprotei; Sulfolobales; Sulfolobaceae.
AGCGGCGUAGGCCAGCCUGGUAGGCCGCAGGGCUCAUAUAUGGGUGUAAAACCCGUUGAGAAACCCUGAGGUCCCUGGUUCAAGUCCAGGCGCCGCUA